Molecule: ribosomal RNA, 506 nt
Filed under: uncultured Glomeromycotina
Lineage: Eukaryota; Fungi; Glomeromycota
Description: partial small subunit ribosomal RNA
Rfam family: Eukaryotic small subunit ribosomal RNA
Source: RNAcentral
CCAAUAGCGUAUAUUAAAGUUGUUGCAGUUAAAAAGCUCGUAGUUGAAUUUCGGGAUUGACACAUCGGUCGUGCCUUAAGGGGUAUGAACUGGUGUAGUCAAUUUCUCACCUUCUGGAGAACCGCGAUGCCCUUAAUUGGGUGUCGCGGGGAACCAGGACCUUUACUUUGAAAAAAUUAGAGUGUUUAAAGCAGGCAUUUUGCUUGAAUACAUUAGCAUGGAAUAAUAAAAUAGGACGGCAUGAUUCUAUUUUGUUGGUUUCUAGGAUCACCGUAAUGAUUAAUAGGGAUAGUUGGGGGCAUUAGUAUUCAAUUGUCAGAGGUGAAAUUCUUGGAUUUAUUGAAGACUAACUACUGCGAAAGCAUUUGCCAAGGAUGUUUUCAUUAAUCAAGAACGAAAGUUAGGGGAUCGAAGACGAUCAGAUACCGUCGUAGUCUUAACCAUAAACUAUGCCGACUAGGAAUCAGACGAUGUUAAUUUUUUAAUGACUCGUUUGGCACCUUAUG